GGGGAAUAUUGCACAAUGGAGGAAACUCUGAUGCAGCGACGCCGCGUGAGUGAAGAAGUAUUUCGGUAUGUAAAGCUCUAUCAGCAGGGAAGAAAGAAAUGACGGUACCUGACUAAGAAGCCCCGGCUAACUACGUGCCAGCAGCCGCGGUAAUACGUAGGGGGCAAGCGUUAUCCGGAUUUACUGGGUGUAAAGGGAGCGUAGACGGCGAUGCAAGUCAGAUGUGAAAACCCAUGGCUCAACCAUGGGAUUGCAUUUGAAACUGUGUUGCUAGAGUGCAGGAGAGGUAAGCGGAAUUCCUGGUGUAGCGGUGAAAUGCGUAGAUAUCAGGAGGAACACCGGUGGCGAAGGCGGCUUACUAGACUGUAACUGACGUUGAGGCUCGAAGGCGUGGGUAGCAAAC
This 403-nucleotide ribosomal RNA is filed under the name uncultured bacterium. Its description in RNAcentral is "bacterial SSU rRNA". It matches the Rfam family "Bacterial small subunit ribosomal RNA", at positions 356 to 773 of the family's 1533-position model. The record is from RNAcentral.